AUCAAUUAGCUAGUAAUAGAGUUGACCAAGGAAGCUUGGCAGACGAGCGAGCGCCGCCGCCGCCACACCAGCGACAGGAACGCCGCCGCCUCAUCCACUCCGCCGUCGCCACACCAGCAUCGAAGCUGCCUCCGCCAAACCAGCGAUCAGGGACGUAGUCGCCUCAUCCCCUCCGCUGCUGCCACACCAGCGAUCGCCGCUGCCUCCGCCACACGACCAGGGACGUCGUCGCCGCCACACCAGCGACCGCUGCCGCCACAUCGAGCAGACAUGGAUUGUCAAGGCAAUGGCGAGGAGGAGCAAGUAUCACCUUGUGGUUAGCAAGACCUUUAGAAGUGAGGACGAAGGAUAUAGUUUUAUAAUAAGCACACAAAGGUCAAAGGUUUCAGUGUUUGGAAGGAGGAGGUGAAGUGUUUGCCAGCAUACAGACUCGAUUCAAGCAGCUUUACACGUGCUUUAAAGAAGGAUACCGUACAUUGGGGAACUUCGAAAGACCUGAACCAAAAAGAACUUCAAAAACGAUCUGAGCUGAGUGCGAGUACCGGAGAAUGGUCCGUGAAGGAUUUUGAGGACAAGCAUAACCAUGCACUCGUACUUGUGGUAGCAGUUUUGCAAUGUUAUUACAUGAUCUAUUUGUUGCUGAAACUAAAUGUGCUUGCAAAAAAUUCUACUUAUUUAGGUUAUUGUACUUGGUACUUAUUUGCUGUCAAACAUUGACAUUUGGAGCGAUGUCAACCGCGAAUAUGUUUCACAUAUGGUGCUGUCAAAAUAGCUUUCCUUUUUA
Lolium perenne is the source of this 784-nucleotide long non-coding RNA. RefSeq lists it as uncharacterized. NCBI's taxonomy places the organism in Eukaryota, Viridiplantae, Streptophyta, Magnoliopsida, Poales, Poaceae. The record is from RefSeq and is a predicted model, not a curated record.